RNAcentral lists this ribosomal RNA (253 nucleotides) under uncultured bacterium. Its description in RNAcentral is "partial 16S ribosomal RNA". It matches the Rfam family "Bacterial small subunit ribosomal RNA", at positions 524 to 776 of the family's 1533-position model. The record is from RNAcentral.
UACAGAGGGUGCAAACGUUGUUCGGAAUUACUGGGCGUAAAGCGCGUGUAGGCGGCCAUGCAAGUCGGAUGUGAAAGCCCUCGGCUCAACCGGGGAAGUGCACUCGAAACUGCAAGGCUAGAGUCUCGGAGAGGAUCGUGGAAUUCUCGGUGUAGAGGUGAAAUUCGUAGAUAUCGAGAGGAACACCGGUGGCGAAGGCGGCGAUCUGGACGAUGACUGACGCUGAGACGCGAAAGCGUGGGGAGCAAACAGG